CCCUUGUACACACCGCCCGUCACGCCAUGGAAGCUGGGGGGACCUGAAGCCGGUGGGCUAACCCGCAAGGGGGGCAGCCGUCAAAGGUCAAUUCAGUGACUGGGGCG
This 107-nucleotide ribosomal RNA is filed under the name uncultured bacterium. RNAcentral describes it as "partial 16S ribosomal RNA". It matches the Rfam family "Bacterial small subunit ribosomal RNA", at positions 1378 to 1482 of the family's 1533-position model. The record is from RNAcentral.